RNAcentral lists this ribosomal RNA (253 nucleotides) under uncultured bacterium. RNAcentral describes it as "partial 16S ribosomal RNA". It matches the Rfam family "Bacterial small subunit ribosomal RNA", at positions 524 to 776 of the family's 1533-position model. The record is from RNAcentral.
UACGUAGGGUGCAAGCGUUGUCCGGAUUUAUUGGGUUUAAAGGGUGCGUAGGCGGCCUGUUAAGUCAGUGGUGAAAUCCAACAGCUCAACUGUUGAUGUGCCAAUGAUACUGACAGGCUUGAGUACAGACGAGGUAGGCGGAAUUGACAGUGUAGCGGUGAAAUGCAUAGAUAUGUCACAGAACACCAAAUGCGAAGGCAGCUUACUAUGGUUUGAUUGACACUGAGGCACGAAAGCGUGGGGAUCAAACAGG